This 1246-nucleotide ribosomal RNA is filed under the name Candidatus Phytoplasma pruni. RNAcentral's name for it is "bacterial SSU rRNA". It matches the Rfam family "Bacterial small subunit ribosomal RNA", at positions 153 to 1399 of the family's 1533-position model. The record is from RNAcentral. Lineage: Bacteria; Bacillati; Mycoplasmatota; Mollicutes; Acholeplasmatales; Acholeplasmataceae.
GAAACGACUGCUAAGACUGGAUAGGAAAAGUGAAGGCAUCUUUACUUUUUUAAAAGACCUUCUUUGAAGGUAUGCUUAAGGAGGGGCUUGCGACACAUUAGUUAGUUGGCAGGGUAAAGGCCUACCAAGACUAUGAUGUGUAGCUGGACUGAGAGGUUGAACAGCCACAUUGGGACUGAGACACGGCCCAAACUCCUACGGGAGGCAGCAGUAGGGAAUUUUCGGCAAUGGAGGAAACUCUGACCGAGCAACGCCGCGUGAACGAUGAAGUACCUCGGUAUGUAAAGUUCUUUUAUUAAGGAAGAAAAAAGAGUGGAAAAACUCCCUUGACGGUACUUAAUGAAUAAGCCCCGGCUAAUUAUGUGCCAGCAGCCGCGGUAAUACAUAAGGGGCGAGCGUUAUCCGGAAUUAUUGGGCGUAAAGGGUGCGUAGGCGGUUUAAUAAGUCUAUAGUUUAAUUUCAGCGCUUAACGCUGUUGUGCUAUAGAAACUGUUUUACUAGAGUGAGAUAGAGGCAAGCGGAAUUCCAUGUGUAGCGGUAAAAUGCGUAAAUAUAUGGAGGAACACCAGAGGCGUAGGCGGCUUGCUGGGUCUUUACUGACGCUGAGGCACGAAAGCGUGGGGAGCAAACAGGAUUAGAUACCCUGGUAGUCCACGCCGUAAACGAUGAGUACUAAGUGUCGGGUAAAACCGGUACUGAAGUUAACACAUUAAGUACUCCGCCUGAGUAGUACGUACGCAAGUAUGAAACUUAAAGGAAUUGACGGGACUCCGCACAAGCGGUGGAUCAUGUUGUUUAAUUCGAAGAUACACGAAAAACCUUACCAGGUCUUGACAUUUUCUUGCGAAGUUAUAGAAAUAUAAUGGAGGUUAUCAGGAAAACAGGUGGUGCAUGGUUGUCGUCAGCUCGUGUCGUGAGAUGUUAGGUUAAGUCCUAAAACGAGCGCAACCCUUGUCGUUAAUUGCCAGCAUGUAAUGAUGGGGACUUUAACGAGACUGCCAAUGAAAAAUUGGAGGAAGGUGGGGAUUACGUCAAAUCAUCAUGCCCCUUAUGAUCUGGGCUACAAACGUGAUACAAUGGUUGAUACAAAGAGUAGCUGAAACGCGGUUCUUAGCCAAUCUCACAAAAUCAAUCUCAGUUCGGAUUGAAGUCUGCAACUCGACUUCAUGAAGUUGGAAUCGCUAGUAAUCAUGAAUCAGCAUGUCACGGUGAAUACGUUCACGGGGUUUGUACACACCGCCCGUCA